This 496-nucleotide ribosomal RNA is filed under the name uncultured bacterium. RNAcentral's name for it is "partial 16S ribosomal RNA". It matches the Rfam family "Bacterial small subunit ribosomal RNA", at positions 28 to 507 of the family's 1533-position model. The record is from RNAcentral.
GAUGAACGCUGGCGGCGUGCCUAAUACAUGCAAGUCGAGCGAACAGACGAGGAGCUUGCUCCUCUGACGUUAGCGGCGGACGGGUGAGUAACACGUGGAUAACCUACCUAUAAGACUGGGAUAACUUCGGGAAACCGGAGCUAAUACCGGAUAAUAUAUUGAACCGCAUGGUUCAAUAGUGAAAGACGGUUUUGCUGUCACUUAUAGAUGGAUCCGCGCCGCAUUAGCUGGUUGGUAGGGUAACGGCUACCAAGGGGACGAGGGGGAGGCGACCUGAGAGGCUGAUCGCCCACACUAGAACUGAGACACGGUCCAGAGUCCUACGGGAGGCAGCAGUAGCCAAUCUUCCGCAAUGGGCGAAAGCCUGGCGGAGCAACGCGGCGUGAGUGAUGAAGGCCUUCGGAUCGUAAAACUCUGUUAUUAGGGAAGAACAACUGUGUAAGUAAAUAUGCACGUCUUGACGGUACCUAAUCAGAAAGCAACGGCUAACUACGUG